CCCUUAGAUGUCCUGGGCCGCACGCGCGCUACACUGAUGCAUUCAACGAGUUUACCUUGGCCGAGAGGCCUGGGCAAUCUUUUAAACCUGCAUCGUGAUAGGGAUAGAUUAUUGCAAUUAUUAAUCUUGAACGAGGAAUUCCUAGUAAACGCAGAUCAUCAAUCUGCAUUGAUUACGUCCCUGCCCUUUGUACACACCGCCCAUCGCACCUACCGAUUGAAUGGUCCGGUGAAGCCUCGGGAUUGUGGCCAGCUCGCUUUAUUGGGAGUUGGUCGCGAGAACUUGUCUAAACCUUAUCAUUUAGAGGAAGGUGAAGUCGUAACA
RNAcentral lists this ribosomal RNA (324 nucleotides) under uncultured eukaryote. RNAcentral's name for it is "partial 18S ribosomal RNA". It matches the Rfam family "Eukaryotic small subunit ribosomal RNA", at positions 1470 to 1796 of the family's 1831-position model. The record is from RNAcentral.